Vidua macroura (Pin-tailed whydah) is the source of this 354-nucleotide non-coding RNA. The record is from the annotation of a RefSeq genome assembly. Lineage: Eukaryota; Metazoa; Chordata; Aves; Passeriformes; Viduidae.
AUGGGAGAGGCUCCAAAAUCCACCCAAAUCAUCGAUCUCCAGCCCCCCGGGGGGUCCCUGCGCCUCCUCUGCCGCGCCUCGGGGUUCACUUUCGGGAAUUAUGGAAUGCUCUGGAUCCGCCAGAGAUCCGGGCAGGGGCUGGAAUUCGUCGCGGGGAUCUGGAGUGAUGGCAGCACCGUGUACGCGCCGUCGGUGAAGGGCCGGGCGACGAUCUCCAGGGACAACGGGCAGAGCUCGGUGACGCUGACCAUGAACGGCCUCAAGGACGAGGAUUCCGGCUCCUGUUUCUGCGCCAAAGCUGCUGCUGCUGGUUUUUGGCGUGAUGAUCCCCUUCCCCCCAGCCUCAGCCCCUGA